AUUGAACGCUGGCGGCAGGCUUAACACAUGCAAGUCGAACGAUGACUAACUAGCUUGCUAGUUAUGAUUAGUGGCGGACGGGUGAGUAACAUUUAGGAAUCUGCCUAGUAGUGGGGGAUAGCUCGGGGAAACUCGAAUUAAUACCGCAUACGACCUACGGGUGAAAGGGGGCGCAAGCUCUUGCUAUUAGAUGAGCCUAAAUCAGAUUAGCUAGUUGGUGGGGUAAAGGCCUACCAAGGCGACGAUCUGUAACUGGUCUGAGAGGAUGAUCAGUCACACCGGAACUGAGACACGGUCCGGACUCCUACGGGAGGCAGCAGUGGGGAAUAUUGGACAAUGGGGGCAACCCUGAUCCAGCCAUGCCGCGUGUGUGAAGAAGGCCUUUUGGUUGUAAAGCACUUUAAGCAGGGAGGAGAGGCUAAUGGUUAAUACCCAUUAGAUUAGACGUUACCUGCAGAAUAAGCACCGGCUAACUCUGUG
Molecule: ribosomal RNA, 480 nt
Filed under: uncultured bacterium
Lineage: Bacteria
Description: partial 16S ribosomal RNA
Rfam family: Bacterial small subunit ribosomal RNA
Source: RNAcentral